UAAUAAAGGUAAAUUAACCAUUCUCACUUACAAAGAGACAUAGCUGUGUAAGCCAGCUAUUUA
This 63-nucleotide transfer RNA is filed under the name Psilodens balduri. Its description in RNAcentral is "tRNA-Val". Lineage: Eukaryota; Metazoa; Mollusca; Caudofoveata; Limifossorida; Limifossoridae. The record is from RNAcentral.